Molecule: ribosomal RNA, 460 nt
Filed under: uncultured bacterium
Lineage: Bacteria
Description: partial 16S ribosomal RNA
Rfam family: Bacterial small subunit ribosomal RNA
Source: RNAcentral
CCUACGGGUGGCAGCAGUGAGGAAUAUUGGUCAAUGGGCGCGAGCCUGAACCAGCCAAGUAGCGUGAAGGCUGACUGCCCUACGGGUUGUAAACUUCUUUUAUAAAGGAAUCAAGUGAGGCACGUGUGCCUUUUUGUAUGUAUUUUAUGAAUAAGGAUCGGCUAACUCCGUGCCAGCAGCCGCGGUAAUACGGAGGGUCCGAGCGUUAUCCGGAUUGAUUGGGUUUAAAGGGAGCGUAGAUGGGUUGUUAAGUCAGUUGUGAAAGUUUGCGGCUCAACCGUAAAAUUGCAAUUGAUACUGGCAGCCUUGAGGACAGUUGAGGUAGGCGGAAUUCGUGGUGUAGCGGUGAAAUGCUUAGAUAUCACGAAGAACUCCGAUUGCGAAGGCAGCUUACUAAACUGCCACUGACAUUGAUGCUCGAAAGUGUGGGUAUCAAACAGGAUUAGAGACCCCUGUAGUC